Molecule: long non-coding RNA, 1417 nt
Organism: Anas platyrhynchos (mallard)
Lineage: Eukaryota; Metazoa; Chordata; Aves; Anseriformes; Anatidae
Source: RefSeq, a predicted model, not a curated record
GCUGCUGGUCUGAAAGUCUCUUUCAGAAGGAGAGUAGUGUUUUUUUUCCUUCCUUCACUUUCAGUCCUCAUUUUUACUGCAGUAUUGUUUUAUGCAAGGCUCAGCAGGCUUUAAAAGCAGGCUGAUGGAGUCAGGUUUCAUAGUAAGCCCUUUUUGGGAGAAAUGAAUUAUUGCAGGCCUAAGAGCUAUGCGGCUGCUGAAAGACUACCAACCGAUGAUGGUCCCUCCCUCCAGAUGAGUGAUAUCAAAAACAUGCUUACAAAGUGACUGCUGUUCUUUAGGAAGUGAUAAAAAGAAACAACUAACAAGAAAGCAAGGAAAGAUAUAAAAUCUGAGAAGCUAACUACCUAGCUGGGGUCAUGGAAGGCACACAUGGAUCCUUCACCUAACCGACAGAAAUAGUAUAGGAAAUAAUUAACAUCUGUAUGUGGUACAAAGAUUUUGAAGGAAAGUAAAUUUACUGUUUUUCAAGGUUAAUUUUUUUCUGCAUUGAGUAUAAUCACCACAACAAUGAAUCAAUGUUGUUAGCAUUGCACUCAGAUCUGUGGAGACAUGAGUGUGCGUGAUGUGUUCAGAAGGCAGUGGAUGAAUUCUACACAGAUGUUCAUGGAGCAGCCAAGGGGUUAAAAUAAUAAUAUUCCUGUAAUCCUGGUUUAUACUGUGGGUGAACGAUAGAGUUCUUCACCUCCCAUUAGGUCUGGCACUUCAGAGCAUCUUUAACUUAAAAUGCUCAUUCACCCUCUCCUUUUAAGCUAUUACUGCAACAUCACUGCAAUCCAUUUAAAUUCAAAUUUUCAGCUUUAAUAACUGCACAUUUGAUCCACAAUAAGCUUCAUUCAUUAAAACUAUCAUUUACUGCAAGUGUGGAGUGUCUCCCUUGAAAGACUGUACGGAUAACUUGGAAAAAACAUUGUGUAUUUCCCACUUACUAUUUCUUGCAUAUCUUAUUGCAUAAAAAAUAAUAAAUCUCUCUUGAAAUCUGCACAUUUCCCUUCCUGUUCCUGCAAUGGCCCGAAUGUCAAAACAAAACAAAACACAUAUAUUCAGGGUGAUGGACAAAAUGGAAGCCUGCCAUGCCAGCUCAGUCUUUUCUUACUCUCCCAAUUUGAAUCUGACCUUGCCUUCCCUAGCAUAUCAAUUCCAAUUAGGUAUGGAAGCUGUUUUUAAAACAGUCAUAUUUGCUUUCCCUUAAGCCUUGCUUCACACUAUAAUUUCCCCCAACUUUCUUAGUGAUUAUUUGCUGCACUUGCUUAAAUAAUUACUCCAGUAACUUGUUUAAAUCUUUUGUGAAAUGCUUAGAUAAAAUGAUACUUACUUGCAUCCCAAACUAUGGAGGUGAAGUUACCCUUAGGGGUUGCAUACUUAGCUAUUUCCUGACAGGUAGAUUUACAGAUUUAACAGAUUUUGUUUGUUUGUU